This 433-nucleotide ribosomal RNA is filed under the name uncultured bacterium. Its description in RNAcentral is "partial 16S ribosomal RNA". It matches the Rfam family "Bacterial small subunit ribosomal RNA", at positions 29 to 507 of the family's 1533-position model. The record is from RNAcentral.
AACGAACGCUGGCGGCAUGCCUAACACAUGCAAGUCGAACGAGACCUUCGGGUCUAGUGGCGCACGGGUGCGUAACGCGUGGGAACCUGCCCUUAGGUUCGGAAUAACUCCCCGAAAGGGGUGCUAAUACCGGAUAAUGUCUUCGGACCAAAGAUUUAUCGCCUUUGGAUGGGCCCGCGUUGGAUUAGCUAGUUGGUAGGGUAAAAGCCUACCAAGGCGACGAUCCAUAGCUGGUCUGAGAGGAUGAUCAGCCACACUGGGACUGAGACACGGCCCAGACUCCUACGGGAAGCAGCAGUGGGGAAUAUUGGACAAUGGGCGAAAGCCUGAUCCAGCAAUGCCGGGUGAGUGAUGAAGGCCUUAGGGUUGUAAAGCUCUUUUACCCGGGAUGAUAAUGACAGUACCGGGAGAAUAAGCUCCGGCUAACUCCGUG